This 843-nucleotide ribosomal RNA is filed under the name Xylodon nesporii. RNAcentral describes it as "partial large subunit ribosomal RNA". It matches the Rfam family "Eukaryotic large subunit ribosomal RNA", at positions 77 to 915 of the family's 3401-position model. Lineage: Eukaryota; Fungi; Basidiomycota; Agaricomycetes; Hymenochaetales; Schizoporaceae. The record is from RNAcentral.
CCCCUAGUAACUGCGAGUGAAGCGGGAAAAGCUCAAAUUUAAAAUCUGGCGCAAGCCCGAGUUGUAAUCUGGAGAAGCAUUUUCUGUGUCGGACCGUGUACAAGUCUCUUGGAACAGAGCGUCAUAGAGGGUGAGAAUCCCGUCCAUGACACGGACUACCGAUGCUUUGUGAUAUGCUCUCGAAGAGUCGAGUUGUUUGGGAAUGCAGCUCAAAAUGGGUGGUAAAUUCCAUCUAAAGCUAAAUAUUGGCGAGAGACCGAUAGCGAACAAGUACCGUGAGGGAAAGAUGAAAAGCACUUUGGAAAGAGAGUUAAACAGUACGUGAAAUUGUUGAAAGGGAAACGCUUGAAGUCAGUCGCGUUGUCUGGAACUCAGCCUUGCUUGCAUGGUGUACUUUCCAGUUAACGGGUCAACAUCAAUUUUGGUUGAUGGAUAAAGGUAGAGGGAAUGUGGCACCUUCGGGUGUGUUAUAGCCCUUUGCUGCAUACAUUGACUGGGAUUGAGGUCUGCAGCACGCCGUCAUGGCCGGGGGUUCGCCCUACGUAACGUGCUUAGGAUGUUGGCAUAAUGGCUUUAAUCGACCCGUCUUGAAACACGGACCAAGGAGUCUAACAUGCCUGCGAGUGUUAGGGUGGAAAACCCUUGCGCAUAAUGAAAGUGAAAGUUGGGACCCUUUACCGGGGCACCGACGCCCGGCCCUGAAGUUUACUGACGGUGCUGCGGUAGAGCAUGUAUGUUGGGACCCGAAAGAUGGUGAACUAUGCCUGAAUAGGGUGAAGCCAGGGGAAACUCUGGUGGAGGCUCGUAGCGAUUCUGACGUGCAAAUCGAUCGUCAAAUUUGGG